GGACUGCCGGUGUUAAACCGGAGGAAGGUGGGAUGACGUCAAGUCCUCAUGGCCUUUAUGCCCAGGGCUACACACGUGCUACAAUGGGUGGUACAAAGAGCAGCCAGCUCGCGAGAGUGAGCAAAUCUCAAAAAGCCAUCCUCAGUUCGGAUUGAAGUCUGCAACUCGACUUCAUGAAGUCGGAAUCGCUAGUAAUCGCGGAUCAGCACGCCGCGGUCGAAUACGUUCCCGGGCCUU
This 237-nucleotide ribosomal RNA is filed under the name uncultured Syntrophus sp. Its description in RNAcentral is "partial 16S ribosomal RNA". It matches the Rfam family "Bacterial small subunit ribosomal RNA", at positions 1146 to 1382 of the family's 1533-position model. Lineage: Bacteria; Pseudomonadati; Thermodesulfobacteriota; Syntrophia; Syntrophales; Syntrophaceae. The record is from RNAcentral.